GGGGCAGAAAGGAGCAAUGUGAGGGCACAGGCUGGGAGCGGAGCUGCAGCCCAACACCAAGGGCCUGCAUAGGCUCCAAGUGCUUGCCUCUUGAGAGGAGGCUGAAGGACCAAGGCGUGAUCAUCCUGGAGAGGAAGUGGCUUCAGGGGAACCUAGAAGCAGCCUGUACCUGCAGGGUGGUCAUCGAGGAAAUGGAGCCAGAUUCUGAAACAAGAUUGGUUUGGAUUGGAAAAGGACAGAAAGGAAGAAAAUGGAGAAAAUUAGAAAGGCAAAAGCCCAGCUUGAACUCAACUUGGCAACUGAGUUAAAAAAGAACAGAAAACUUUUUACAAAUACACUAACAGUAAGAAGAGGACUAAGGAGAAUCUCCAUUCUUUACUGGAAGCCGUGGGAAAUGUGAUCACUGAGGAUAAGAAAAAGGCAGAGAUUCUCAAUGCCUUCUUUAUAUUUGUCUUUAAAAGUCAGACCAGUUAUCCUCUGAGUGCUCUACCCUCUGACCUGGAAGUAUCAGAUAGGCAGCAGAAUAAAUCACCCAUAAUUCAAGUGGAAACAGUUAGAGACCUACUACUCCACCUGGACUGUCAGCACUCCACAGAACCAGAUGGGAUCCACCUGGGGGUGCUGAGGGAGCUGGUGGAGGUGAUAGCCAUGCUACUUUCUACCAUCUAUGAAUGCUCCUGAUCAACCGGAGAGGUCCAAGAGGAUUGGAGGCAUGACUACCAUCUACAGGAAGGGUCAUAAGGAGGAUCUGGGGAACUACAGACCUGUCAGCCUGACUUCAGUGCCAGGUUUAUUGCACAGGAAUGAGACUAUUAGAACAGCAUGUCCACCAACCUCAGCAUAUACCUCAACCAGAAAAGGAAGGCCCAGGAGGGCAUAACCCCUUCUGAGUAACACACGCAAGCUGGUAACAAUAGACAAGGUGAAGGCUGAGGUGUACCACAAGAUCUGGACCGCUUGUAGGAUUUAGUAAAGUACCAGCUUAAGUAACAGGAACUUCGACCAAAAGCAAUACUCUGAUUCUCCUUUAACAACUGCUCAACUUCUCACUUGGCAUUCAUAGCAUUACACUGAUAAGUUAAAAGCUGUAGAGCUUGUGUAGCUACUGCAUAACUCGUUUCUCUGUUAGAAAUGUACUGGACUGAACAGCAGAAAGAGAUGGCUUCCAAAAUAGCCAAAGUUGAGAGAAAAUUUUUGAAAUAGUAUUCAAUCUUGCUGCAUGAGAUAAGGUACAGAUUUCAAAAAAUACUUUGAGUCAAAACAUUUUCUUACGGCUUUCAAAUCGGGGAGCAAGGAAUUUAAAUUGCUGGGGAAAAUAGUGCUGAAAUAUAUGAUCAUAUUGACUGUUCUCCGAGUAAUUUUUGCCCACUGAAUGUGUGAGCAAAACCCAAUUCUUUGAAAUUUUUCUCCUAGAAUAUUGAAGUAACUGAGUUUUGGAAACUUUGCUGUCUCUUUCUGAGCUGGCCCUACCACAAAAAUGAACUAUGGUUUGUAUUUUUUUUUUUUUUAAUGCCUGAAGGUUUAGUAGUCUUUAAGGAAGACUAUUUGAGAACAGUGACAUGAGUAGUUAUACACAACAUUUGACCAUUUGUCAAUUUAGGUUUAUCUUUGUUCUACCUAAGUUUACUUUAAAACUCUCCUAUGAGGUUAAAGUAUGAGUUUCAGUUGCUAAAUUUAGAGAUACUGUCUGAUAGAAAUAUCAAACACUACACAGUAUGAAGAAAAACUUAAGCUUACUUUGUACUGUAUUCUUAGUAUGCAAGGAAAAUAAGACGAAAGGAAGACAAGAAGAAAAGAGAUGGAAGGAGGGAGGGAGAAACCUUAAAUCAUUUGGAGAAUGACUGCAUAUUUGUUCCACAAGGAAUUCAUCCUAAGUGCUACCUAAAGUGGCUACAGGUAAACAUCCAGGCUCACAGGAACUUGGAGGAAGAAGCAUGGAGGAACAGAACUUGCCACAGUCCCAGGAUUCCUUGGGCAUGCCUUCUGCAUCUCUGCUGUCCCUGCAGGUCUGGGCUUCAUUACUCUCUGAACCUUACCCGUAAUGGGUAGGUGGGUGCAAACUGAGCAUCGCUGGUUCAGAGAAGGAAGUUGUGUUGAAAGAAAUCUUGUAGUAUGCCGGAGCUUCCCUUGGCAUAUCUUUUUCAGCCUUCCUUAAACUCCUUGAACAAGUCAGAGGAUGGCAGAGCCUGAUACUACUAGGGCCCAUGAACCUCCUUGUCACCUGCUGGAAGGGAACAUGGCAGGACAAGCAGUCCUGGGGAUUUCUGGAGAGCAUCGGGGACAAUGUGACAGAGCCUGGCUGGACCAACCAAGGCGUUGUGCUGAGAGAUCUGCUGUCCCUGUCAAGGUGACACUGGCAAGCAAGGUAGCAAUCCAUGUCAGCCUUGGCUGUAGUGAGCGUGAAAUACUGGAGGUGAUGAUCCUAAGAGGAGAGAGGGAGGGAUGGAGGAGAAUGGCAGAGCCCAGAUAUAGACAUCAGGAGAUCAGCUUGAGGAUUGCCCAGGAAGCAGGCAGCUGGGAUCAUCCAGAAGCAGCUCUGAAAGGCAAAGGAAAUGAGGCAAGCAGUGAGGUCUUUAUGGACCAUAUCCUGCAGAUGCAAGAUGGAGCCAUCCCAAUACCCAGGAAAGCAAGCAGAUGGGUCAGGACUCUGGAUUGACUGAGUGACUGAGCUGAGAAUUACUGCUAAGGCAUGCAGGAAUGGGAUUAGGAAGACCAAAGCCUUUGAAUUUUAAAAAUUGUUUGUAUAUCCCACAUUCUAAAGACAAAAUUUAACAGGUUAAAUAUCAAUAAUAUGUUAUCUGUCACUUUUUCACCUAUAUAUCAAUAUGUAGUCCAAAAGAAACAUUUAUGUAAGGGCAGAUUUCACAAGUAUUUUUAUCAUGUGAUUGUUCUCUGGCUGGAACUUUUAAUUCUUAAGGUCAUGCAGGUCUUAGUGCUAAUACUAGGUUAAUCUUGUGAUAUUAUCAAGGACAGGUGAAGCAACAGGUGCAAUCUAGAGAUGUAACACUAGAACUAAAUAUAUAUAUUUUUUCAAAUGAAAUGUUAUGUGUCUGUAAAUACAGGGAAAAACUUGAAAACAUUAAAAAAUAUCUCUGAUAGAGUAGGAGGCUAAAAAGAAAAGGAGUCCAAAUUGAUUACUCAAAUCAUGAAAGAUAAUCGUAUCACCUGGAUUUUAAGGAUGAACGUCUAUGAUGAAUGGUUUGAGUUGUCUGGUACAAAGCUGGAUUAUAUCAAUGGACAAGCUCUCGUUACUUGUAUGGGCAUCUGCAGUAGAAGGAAAAUUACAAAGCAGAGGUAUCCUUUUUAAAGGACCAUUAAGAACUUUUGUUGAAGCACUUUCCAGUUCCCUGCUGCUAUUAAGCAAUAUAUCACGUUUGUGGCUAUGACUUAAAUUUAAUGAAGUUUCAAAUAUUUUUAUAUAUUGCAACAAAAAGAAAUAAUUUCUUUCAUCAUAAUUAAAUAGAACUUAAAAAUUCUAUGGAAUGCAGGGAAGGUUAGGUUUCUUUUAAAUACAAGGAAACUGACUCACGACACCAUAUCCCAAGCCAAAGUCAGACAGGAAUUCAGCUGUAUUACUGGGAAUAGGAGAUUGAUCACUUUACUGCCAGUUCUGCACAGUAAACAAAACUGUCACUUGCUUCAAAAAGAGAAUAAAUGAGAGAGUGCUUUGACACAUGGGAUACUGAUGAUGUUAGAAGAGCUGAUGAUCUAAAAGAAGCCGGUAGUGAUUUGUUUAAACGGUCCUCUGAAGCAAUGAAGUUGCGAUGUGUCAGCGACUGAGAAAGCUGGACUUCGCCAUCCUCCCCUCUUCGGGGAGUGUUGCAAGAGGUAAACAUUCCCCAUCUUUUGGUCAUUUAUAACCGCAGCUCUUGUACAAUUGAGUGAGUAGCAGUACCGAGCCGAUCCUGACUCAGCAGGCAUGAUACAUAUUUUCUUCACCCCCUGCAGUUCCUUGUCAGCAAGCUUCAGUCAUAUUUUGCAUUGCAAGUUCUGUCUUUCACAUUUCCUAAAUAAAACAGUGCCAUGUUUGACACAUGCAGAAGGGCUGGAAAUGGAGCCCCUGAUUUUUUUAUGCUGAUGAUACGAUGAUCCCUGUUUUUCCAGCAAAACAAGGCUGGAAUUUUUCUCCUGACUCACCUGUUUUGUACAGCGUGUAUCCCAUCUUAAGUACUUCCUCUGAAUUCCCUUUUUAAACACCAUCUGUUCUAAAUGAAAACUGAUUCGGGAUGUUGUUUUUAUAAUCAGGUUCUCUAAUAGUGGCUGUAGAUCCCAUUGUAUGUUUUUCUUUCACUUCUAAAAGGAAAUUUCUUCAGGGUCCACCUGGAGAACAGCUGAAUAGGAAACCUACAGAUCCGCUGUAGUUUCCAAAUACAUCACUUCCUGUCCAGAUUUCCACACAGAAGUCCUUCAGACCUGCAGGACCCGUGUUCAAAAGCACAGUCCUUGUUUGCCCUGUCUCCCAGCUUGUCUACUUCAAAAGACAAACAAAGCUAAACUAAAACCCACCCACCUGGAUGAUGUAAUAAGUAUUGCAGGAUGUAGGUGAGAGAGGAAGAUCUUCAGACUGGGACCUUCUUUUCACGACACCACUGAGCAGGGCAAUAGGACAUUGAGUGAGAUCAGCACUCCACGACAUUAUUGCCCUACAAAUGUUCCUGUGCCCACAGGCACAGUGAGAGCCAUAUUUGAAAUUCUUUACUUUUGAGAUCACGCAGAGGUGGGCUGGGCAAACUAGAAUCAAGUCAUGUGUAAACAUUCAGCUCUUCCCUGCAUUGUUUCUUCUGCAGGUGUACAAAAAGACACAUCCAAAUUAAUACCAGUCACAGUGCAGGAAACAAAAUACAAUUUUAAGCUAAUUUUGUAUUUGCCUAGAUUUGAAGGCCUGGGAGCCAGAUGAGCUUUUGGUGUGACUCCAUAUUGCCGCAGGGCUGGAACUGGGAGGGAAUGUUUUUUGCUUUACCACAAAAAUUUGUGUUUUAGAAGAUAUUUCCAAUCCAUCAAGACGGUGAGGGAAGUUGUCCCAGAAUAGUUAACCUGCUUUGGGUGGUCCUCGGGGUGACUUGGACAAAGUCCUUGCUCUCGUGUCUUCGUUCUCAUGGGAACUUGUUAUCCCCUGAGCUGGCUAAUCUUGGAAGGAAUAGAAAUGGGAAGGAUGUUUCAGUUUCUCCCUUUGAAGCUUUUCUGUGUUAGACAUUAAAUAUUUGUGCAAGCCCAGUUAUGAGGACUGUAACUUGGGAUGGUGGAAGCUAAAAUUCCACUCCUUUCUUCUCAGAACAUUGUGAAAACAAUGAGAAGUGAAACAUUCCAACACAAGAGCCCAGGGAACUCCCCUCAGCAUUAGCCUGCAGUGUUGUGGUUAGGUGGCAGAGGUGAGAGUAAGACCAAUGAAUGAUACGUAACUGCGCAUAGCUUAUUGACUGAUUCACUGUUAUUCUCCAUCAGUUUGAAUAGAAAAAUCCCAGUCAUCUCUAUUGGAUGUUAAUUACAGUGCUCUAUAAAGGUAGCCGAAGACUGAUAAGACCAACAGAGGCUAAUAAGAGCUGGAGAAAAGGAGGUGUGCUGGUAAGAACAACUAGAAAGCCUGUAACUUCCCACCACCUCCGAUAGUCUGUUUACAUUGAUUUGUUUAUGUUGAGGGUCACUCAGAAUUAACAGCGGCAUACAUUUCCUUAAAAUACAGAUCUAAGAUGGAUUGGACCUAGCUCCUAAUUUUAACAGAGAUUUGCCACUGAACAGGAAGAUAUAUGUUAUUCUGUGCUUGGUAGUGACCUAAGGCAGCUAGUCACAACACUAGCCCAGCAGACUCACUCCAGGCAAACCUAGAUAAAGGAAAUCGACCUUAAAGUUCCUGAUGAGCCAUUUGUCACAGAUAAUAGUCAAGUUUGACUAUGUGGUCACCUGCACUGAAAGAUGCUUGGCAGUCAGAGCAUUCCAAGACAUGCAAAUAUAUCUGGGGUUUUGCUGGAUCCAGGGUAAGAUGAAACACUUCAUGACUUUUUUUCCUUUGUGUAAACCUGCUUACUCUUCAGUCCUUUAUGCUUGACUGUACUUAGCACAAAGAAAUGUGGGCACUAGUAUGGGACAAUCUUGAGAGACAGUAUAUUUUAAUGCGGAAAGUAACUUAGUAUAUUGAAAACUAAUGAUAAGAAGACUGUGUUCAGUUUAAUUUCAUUUAUGCCAAAAGAAAAUAGAGUGAUUGUAAGUCAUUGCCACCAUGAACAGAGAAAAGAGAGGCUUUUGAGCGGCAGAAGUCAGAGCCAUUUUGGUUGCUAGUCCCCAACUAACUUAACCUAUCCUGCAUAAAGCCAUGAUAUCAGGAAAUGUUUAUUUACCUGUCCAUAAGAGUAAUAUUUUAGGUAGGUUUGGGUAAUUUUCUGUUGUUAACAAUACAAGAAAAGAAGAGAUCAUUAACUUGUGUUUUGACCUACCAUUACUUCCAAAUCUCUGAAAAUGAGUCUUUGAAUUUAGGAAACAUAUAAUGAGUCAUAACACACAAUGAGUCAGCCUCCUGCUGGCUUUUGAAAUCUGUCUGGUUUUCAAAAUAACAUUCUACAUUUUAUAUAUCAGCUCAGUUAAUUACUAACUUUGCAUGUUCAGCUUUGCUGUCAGUAUGUGUUACUAUAAACCUGUCAAGAGGCAUCUUUUUUAAAAAACUCAUUCUUUAUUUACCCAACAUAUCAUGCAUGUUUGAAAAUUUACUUAAAAAGAAAAAAAAAAACAGGUGUUUCUAUGAGAGCUUACAUUACAGGGGAUGGAUCCACCUGUUGUGCUUCCCUGGUGAUUAACGUUUCUGAUUUUUCUUGUUUGUUUAUUGUCCACGUGUUCACAUUUUGCUAAAACAAAUUACUCUUUUUUUUUCUUCCCUUUUUUUUUUUUUUUUUUUUUUGUGGUGAAUAGUAAUAUAUUGGUGAGUGGUGAAUAUUUUUUUCCUUCAUAAAGCAUCACAAUCCAGACACGCUUUCAGGCGUUAGAAGGAACAUUCAUCUUACAGGUCUUACUGGAGCAUUAAAUCUCUCACUCUGUAAUCUUAUUAAUUAGCUAAUUUUAGUAGGGUAGACUGGAUGCCUAUUCCCAGUAGAGUUGUUCUCUGACUAAGGCAUGAGUCCGGGAUGUCUGCGUUACGUGUCCCUUUUUGCCAAAUUACCCAACCUCUUUGUGUGUCACUUUUUCCUUAAAAUGGGAACAACGUGUGGAGUGUUGAAGCACGUUUAAUAUUAGGAAAAGGCUUUGAGAUCUUCUCAUAAAAGUUUCCCCGCAUCCCUUCAGAAAAUUAUAAACGUGAGACUUUAUAGGACCUUCUCUGUGAGUAGUUUAGUUCCAAAAAUACCGAAGAACUCCAGGCUCCUGUGUAAGGUGAAUCAGCUUCAGUAUGUUUUACAAACAGGGAAAAAAUACAACCCUAAAAUUACUUGAAUAUGCUAUCAGUUCUUGCCAAGCUUAUUAUUAUUAAAAGUUAUUUUCUCUGUCUACAGAGAUACAGCUGGAGAUAUACAGAUAACUGCCAGACAGUGGGAAAAGCAGAAAAUUAGUCCAGACAGAGAGCCCCAGUGAUGUGGUUGGGCUGUUUCCCACACCUCCAAGUGCAUCUUCACAAUGGCACUGCAGCGAGCCUGGCAAGCUGCUCACACACAUGUCCACGUUGGUUCCUUCUGGGCCUUCGGUCCUGAUACUUAUAGUGGGGCUUGAGGAAGUGGGAAAGAGCACAGGCUCCUUCUGCACCUGCCCUCAGUCCAUCAGGUUACAUUUAACUUAAAAUCCUAGCUGAUUUGGGGGAGAAUUUGCAUCAAAGUUGCUGCAUAAAAUGCUUUGAUGUGCUGUUUAGCCUGCGUUAGCUGAGAAAGUCAGCUUGACUCAUACACCACACCACUGAAAGCAACACUCUGAUGUGUCAGUUCUAAACUGAUGUAAGUGUUUUACAGUACCAUUAAGCUUUAACAGAAGUUUUGAAGUCCUGAAGAAAUAGAACAAGCAUCAGGAUACCAGCAAGUGCAUGUAAUAUCAAGAGUAAUGAAGACUGCAAAGUGUUGGUGAGUUUGAUCGCUGACCUGGAGAAUAAGAUGCAGAGCAAAAAGCUGAACAAGCAGUGGGGAUGGAAGCUCCAAAAUCCAAAGUAUUUGUCAAAAUAUAUUAAUCACACCCUGUACAGAAUACCCAAAGUAUUGCUACAUUUUUAUUUCUCUCUGGGCCAAAUCCCUCUGCUAUUUUCAUAGUAAAGAAAACAAAACAAAAAAAACUCUAUUUCCCUGAAUGGGAAUAUUGCAAUUACUGCAUUCUCAUGGGGGAAUAGGGAGAAGAAUGCAGAAAGAUAAAAUAGUGGUUAUGCAAACAGAUGUAAAUUUGGUGGUAAUUCACUUUCCCAUGUUAUUAUUAUUAUUAUUUUUUUUUGGCCAUUUGGUAUCUAGUGAAUAUGAUUCAUACACUUGCAGCUUUGGAAAAAAUAGGAAUAGAAUUAUUAAUUGUUAGAAAAUCAUUUCUUAUUGUUUCUGGAUUGAUCUGUUUCCAAAGCCAAAGCUGCUUAUUUAAUACAAUCGUAGAUUUUCAGUAAAAGGAAAAAAAAAAAAUUGAUUUGAGAAUUUUAUCUUUUUAAUAACAUUAUGCAUGAUGAAUAAUUCAGUUCAUUUGCAAGAACUUUAAAUGAAUUUUAACCUCCCAUAAGUAAAUUUAAAUUUGCUCCUGGCGUGAAUAAGAAAACAAUUAAACUAAUACCAAGAAAAUGGCAUUCUGUAAUUUAGAGUGGGAUCUGGACUUUAUUAUCCCACACAGCAGAUGGAUGAGCUUCCUUAACCACGAAACUCUUGGCUUUUUUGGCACACCUUCCUCAUUUCCACUGACUUUAUUCUGCUCAGACAUUUUAAUUAAAUACGUUCCACUUUUCUUCUUUAGCGGAUGCCUUACAAAAAUCAUUUUGUCCAAAGGAAAAAAAAAAAAAAGCAUAGUGCCAUUUUAGAGCUUCUGGUAGGCUUUUAGUCAUAUGACUAGAACUACUGAAGUGAAUCUCUGUUUUAAUAACCUUGUGGGUACACCUUCCCUGGAUUUGUCCAACUUGCAUGGUAUUCCUCAUAUAUCCAUAGGAGAUCCAGUGCUGCUCACCAGUGUUUGGGAAAGCAGCUCGAGGGACAGAAGGAAGACCCCACUGAUGGAUCCAGAAUCUGCACCUUCCUGAGCAGACCUCAGAAGUAGAAUAGCUGCGCUGUUAGGUGUCUCUGGGCAAAGUCUUUUUGUAUGUUUGUUUUUAGUGCAAAGCUCCUAGCUUCCGUGCACUUAAAAGGAACUACCAGAAGAACUAAUACAGUACUUGAUCCUUUUGUUUUAGUGCUUAUCUAUGGGGAUGACAUCUGUAUUCUAGAGGGAAACUGAUAAGGGAUUUUUCCAAGAAUUUUACAUUAAAUUUCAGAGUUACUUAUGACUACUACAUGGACUUAGAAGAGCAUGAGAAUGUCCAUGCUGAGCAAAGGCAGUCAGUGGCCUGCUCAGAGUAGCCACAAUGGGAAUCUACAAGAACCCUGCUCCUGACACUGUAGGGCAGGGUAUAAUUUUUGGAGGGCAGGACUUCUGGGUCCAGAGGUGGGCCACAAAGAUGAUCAAAGGGUUGGAGCAUCUCUCCUACAAAGGCAGGCUGAGGGACGUGGACUUGUUCAGCCUGGAGAAGAGAAGGCUUCAGGGAAACCUCAUUGCAGCCUUCCAGUAUUUAAAGAGGGCUUAUAAACAAGAGGGAGACUGUCUUUUUACACAGAUAGGUAGUGAUAGGACAAGGGGCAAUGACAACUAAAAGUGGGGAAAUUUAUAGUAGAUGUCAGGGAGAAGUUUUUCACUGAGAGGGCAGUGCAGCGCUGGCACAGCUGCCCAUAGAAGCUGUGGGUGCCCCAUCCCUGGAGGCCCUCAAGGCCAGGUUGGAUGGGGCCCUGGGCAGCCUGAGCUGCUGGGUGGCAGCCCUGCCUAUGGCAGGGAUUGGGGCUCGGUGGGCUUUGAGGUCCCUUCAAACUCAAACCACUCUGUGAUUCUAUCCCAUCCCUGUGAACGGUGGAAUCCCCAGCCUGGGGAAGCAGUAAGAAAAAGCUGCCCAGUGCCAUUGCCUUCCCAUUUAUGAACAAUUCACUUCUGUAUUGUAAUUUUAAGGGAGCAAAAGUAAAGGCAGAGCGUUGAAAGAGAACUUUGUCUUCCCCUUCUUGGUGGAAAACUUAGAAACAAACAUUGCAAAUAUGCAAACAACCGCACCCAAAUUUCAGCCUCAGGUGGCUUGUAACCCCUAUCCUAUUGUUUUAAUUAAACGGACAGAAUAUAUUUGGGCUGAACUGAUGCGUUCAGUUGAUUUUAAACUCCACAUUGAAAUUCUCAUUUCAAAGUCGCAAGAAUGUAUUUGCCCUUGGGUAUGAAAGCUGUUGCAUCCUGUUGCAGUGGGAGAUAAAAUAGAGAAAAGAGAUUGUCUUAAAUACUUCUGAAACCCUUUGAUUAAUAACCUGAUUUAGUGUUCAGACCGACACGCCAAAUUCUAACUUAAGAUCUGUCGCAAGGAAUAGCUGACCCCAGAGGAGAUUAAUGGAUGCCUGUGAUCUGCUUGCUUCGUUCUUCAGAGCCUUUAAGUUGAGAAAUUGAAAUUUGGAGGAAUUUUCCAGAUGUGGGCAGAAGGAAGAAAGUCCCUGCAGUACUUUCACAGCGGCUUGCAAGAUUCUUAGAGACUUCUGCAUUUGAUUUAUUAUUAUUUCAUCUUCUGUAUUUCACUUAUUACUCUUGCUUGUGUACUUACCCGACUCCUUUUUUCUUGCUUCAACAGUGAUGGAUCGCUGCCUGUCUGUCUUCUGAGUUAAACAACUGUUCUACUGCUUUAGAACUUGCAAGUGAAAAAUACUAAGUUUGACACAUACAGAACCCUUGUGUCAACAAAUAAAUAACAAGGUUACUAGUUAUUCAGAGAGCAUCUAAUGAAUGCUUCCAUUUAGACAACAUAGGCGAACAAUUUUUCCUCCGUACCAUGUUUUCUUUAGUAAUUGCAUGCAGGAGGAUUUAUCUGGGGUAAUUUAGAAGCUGAUUGACUCUUUACUGCUUUGUUUUUCAUAAAUGCUGACACAGAUAUUCCUCAACUGCUCCAGAAUCUCUACUUAGCCUGAUCACUCUGCUGGCUAGGGGGAAGGCGAGAUUGCUCCAAGUUUAAUCCUGGGGAAUGCUACAGUUGGUAGCCUUCUCAACAACAACAAAAAACAAAGCAGUAUAACUAAUGCCAGGGGGGUGGGGAGAAAAAUCUUACUGCAUUUCCAGCUGUCGUCUCAUUAUAAAACCAAAAAACCCAGCAAUUGUGUUUGAUGAAAACAGCAGCUAGCUAAAUAGUGUUAGCAGAUAAAGCUGUUCUGUUGCCUCCACCUUUGUGAGAGCUCAGGGGUGUGAUUUCUCUGAAAAGGCACUUGAUAAAGAAGCUUGGUUUGUGUUUGAAAUUUUUAUAUAUCCAAAAAUUUGUUGUGUAUUGAAAAUCAAUACUUAGUAUAGUUAAAAUGGUUGGGCUCUUUUUUCAGUAAAGUGAGCUGGCUCUUAUUUGAAAGGUGAAUUAAUGCAAUGGCUGGAAAACAUUGACAGAUGGAUCUUGGCAGUGGUCAGCAGAGGGCUUCUAGAAACUUAGCUGCUUUAUAGGUGUAUGGAGGAAUUGGAUAAACUCGUGCCAAUAUCUUAUAAGCAUUGUUUGUAUGUAAUAUGGACUGUUUAUGCAUUUUUCUGUGCUUCCUUUCCCUUUUUUUUUCCCCUGCCGUACAGGAGCUACAGGGUUCUCAUCAGAAUUCAUACAUCAGUAAACUUUCAUGCAGGCUUUACCCACAUGUGGGCUUCCCACCACAGACCUCCUAGGUACCUUCAACCUGGUUGUUGCUGGUGCUGCCAUAAACAUCUGGCAGAGAAGUCUGCUGAAGGAAAGCCUUUGCUGUGUGAUGACAAAAUUAAGAGCUGCACAAAUGGAUAAAAUUAAGGUUGCCUGGGUUACCUUCAGGCAUUUCCUGCCUGUUCCUUGCUCAGCUCUGCAAACUUGUUGCUUGUUCAUUUUGGUAGAGCAUCUGUAUGUACGUAAGCUUCAGGACUUUAAAACCGCAAACAGAGCUGUGUGCUGAAGUAAAAGGUCUUGUCACGGUCCCAAGGAUAAUUCUCUGCCCAUUUUUCAUGUGACAGUUUCCCAGAUGUUCUCACCAGGGAUGAAAAGCUGGUGUGGUGUGCUUGGGAGGCUCAGCAUACUGUGAAGGUUCAGACGUGUUUUGGGGCCUGACAGUUUUUUCUCCCUGUCUUUGCUUAGGAUGAGCUGAAGAGAAAAAUUCUAGCUCUUAAACGCCUGUUAGAGACACCUUUGCAAACAAGGUAAUCUUUACUCUGAGGAUCCAGCGAUGGGUGCAGGGACACAGCAGUGAAGGCCUGAUCCUCCCACACAUCCUUCUAAAUCCUGGGGGAUUCAGGCAGGUUGGGCAGCAGGCCAGGAUACCUUCUUAGUGAGUUGUCUAAGGUCAAGAUGGAAAUCACUGGCAAAAUCAGGAGGAGAACUCAGGUACCCACAGCUCACAUCACACAGGAACACUGCAAGAUGCUGAGGCUCUCUUAGGGUCAAGUAGUUCACAAAGUGCAGUGUCUCUCUGCAUCUGAUAUAAAUGCAUGAGUUACACCAAAUUUGAUGUAUUGUAGAGGAUAUUAUGAACAAUGUAUUGCAUUAAAGACAGGCAUACAUUUCUGCAUUCUCAUGGAAAGGAGUGUUAUGAACCGCACAAAAAGAUCAAUUCAAGCUUUCAUUCAAUACUUUCCCGAUCUAAAGAUCAUAUUUGUUAUUUGUGUAUAUUUUUACACAUAUUUACAGUGUUUGAAAUUGAAGAUGACAUGCAGGAAUAGGGCUGAUAGAUUUUUUCUAAAUGCACAUUUAUAAAGGUGACUAUAAUUCCUAUUUCGUAGGCUCUCCUGACACAGUCACCACUUAGGGACUGUGAUUUUGCCUUGUCUAUGUCAGUGUACAGUGCUUUUUGCUAGAUAUGGCUUCCACGUAUUUCUUCAAUUUCUUCUCUUGCAGAAGUAGGGUCAAGAAAAAAUGAAGCCAAAUAGCACGUGGCCAUCUUAGUAGGAGUUUUUGUAUUGCAUUUGGUGAUUUGACUUCAGUUAGUUAUUUUAAAAGUUAGUUAGCUUAGGUUUCGUAUACUAUACAUCAAGAAAAUCCUUUCCAAAAACCUAAAUCAUAAUAAUAAUUAAAAAAAAACCCAACUCUUUGUGUAAAUGCUGGAUAUAAAUUAGACCAUGACUUUAUGUUCCUGUGACCAAUCAUGCACUAGAGGAAAUAAUUCACUGGAAUUAGGUUACUCUCUUAUGCCAGUUUGUCUUCUUUCUGCUAGAAAAAAAUCAUCUGCAGAUUAGCUGGUGGUGAAAAGAGAAUGCCAUCAGUACAGGGAAAUUGCCUGAGCUGCGUUAAUCCGCUUUGGCUAAGGGGGAAUGUCCAGCAGGCUGUUUGUUAUGUGGAUGUUUACGGUCUUGACAAGUGCUUUCUAUGAAAGGUUACUAUUGCAAAUCCAAUGGAUGUGGCUUCCACCUUAAAACGGUGGUCUGCGUGUUCUUUGAAGUGCUUUUCCACAUCAGAUUUCAAAAUGAGGCCGAAGGUCUUCUGCUCUGCACAGGCUUUCUCUGCUGUUUAAUCACUGCUAAUCACACUGAAACAUAGCUCGUGUCACAAGCAUUCAUUUCACUUUGUGAAAUCCUGGACAUGUGAGCGCAGACUUUGAUGAUGUGCAGUGUCUGUGCACUAAUUGCAAGGGAAUUCCAAGAGUAAUUUUAAUUUGCUCCUUGGCUAUGAUCAUACACAGCUGUCAUCGUUGUGCACCUGUAUAAUCUGCUUUCAAGAGCCAAAUUCUACAAGUUUGGGCUUUUUGCAGCUCUGGAUUUGGGGGCUUUGUUGCUAGCCGUUAGAUUUAUUUAACCAUUACGAGCUAUUAAAUUUACUCAACCUUGUCAGUGUGGAAAUGUGUGACAUUUUCAGAAAGACAUAUAAAUUCUAAGUUGUGAGCACUGGGGAGGACAGACCAAGAAGCAGCUCAUCCAGGUGAAAAGUAUCUAAACUGUAUCAUUUCAUUUGUUGACAUUUCAUCGAGGUGCAUGAGCAUAUUAAGUGAUACGACUGAGUCACAUUGACAUGACACGUAGAGUGCAUUGUGUUUUGAGACUGUUUUGCUGGCUAGCAGUGGGAGUCCUGGAGCAGCGAUGGCUUUGUUGGCAAUGGGCUGCACCUACCAGCAUACUGACUGGUGACACAUCCCCCCUGCACAGAGAUUUUGGGCAGGAAAAUACAAAAUAUAUCAUUCAAAAGGGCUGAACUUAAGAAUGACUUGGCUUGUUUCCUCCUUUGAAUAAGGCACAAAUCUUUUGUUCCGAGGCUGUGGAUAACCAGAGUGGGACAGACAAGUCAGUGCCUCCUAGGAAUCUGCAUCAGUAUAAAAAAGAAGUGGCAGGGCAGGAGAUAUACCAUGCCCCAGAUAUACCAUUCCUGCGCCCAGAAGGUUGGCACAGCCUCAUUCACUGAUGGGUUAAGCCAGUCCUCUGGCCUGUAAACUUGUCUGUGUCACGAGUUGUCCUGUGUUUACUUUUCCUGAUGUUUCUGCAAGGUGCAGUUCAAGCAGUGAUAAAGUGGAAUAAAAUAGAGAAUUGGACUCAUGAGCCUUAAAAGUGCAGCUCAACCAGUGAUUAUAGCUGCCACUCAAAGCAAAGUUGCCCAAUAUGACAGGAUCUGAGGAAACAUGAAAAGGAGAGAAUGAUGGGGCAGGAUGAGUUGAGAGAAGGGAAUCUAGGCGAGGAGGUGUAGAGGUAUUAAUAUUUUCUCACAUGUAGCCUGCAUGUAAAAUUACAAGUGAGGUGGAAGUUACAGAUCUGUAAUUCCACUGGGAUUUUAGUGGAUCAGGCUCCUGUGGUUUAUGACAUUACCUGAAUCUUUUGAUAGAACUGCAGCCCUAUAAUUCACAGCUGGUUGUAAUUCAUUCAUAAUAUAAAUCUGUCAAGAGCUUUCGGUGAUACCAUAAACUAUAACAGCACUGUUCAGAAUUUGAAAUAAAGAUGUUGACAUUGUUUAUAAUUGGACAAGGAACUGACAUCCACUUAUUUUCAUAAUUUAUGAGGAAAAUGAAAAACUGUACCUAGAUGUUAGGUGCACAUUUUCAGUAUAUUCCUUUGACUGUGACUGUCAUUUAUUAAGAGAUCAUCCUGUGCUAAUUGAGAGACUUCCACUUUUUUUUCUGGCAUAAAUUUGUGCAUCUCUUAUCAUAGGCUGUUGCAUCUCCGCUGUGCAUCAUGGUGUUUUGAAGCAUCAUAUCUAUAUGUACUCCAGCAUACUAUAGUAUUUAUACAUGACAAACAUAAAAUAUAUCUAUCACGCUAGCUGUCAUCCAGCAAUGAGUAAAAGCAGUAAAUAACUGUUCUGGGAAUGGGCCAGUGGGUAUUUUGUUUUCCCUGAGCUAAAUCAAUAACAGCUUGUUUGCUGUAUGUCUUGUCAUCUUCCCCGGAGUCAGUGGUGUGCUUUAUUGACCUUAAUAACUACUAUAAUAAAUCCAGUAGAAAUGAAGAAAGCUCUGUUCUGUAAUGAAAAUCUGUAGCUUAUCUGUCGUGCUGUCCUAUGUAAAGAGCUGUAUUCAUUCUGCCCUAUUCCCCAGGACUCUGACAUUAGAUAUGCUGCAAGAUUAUUAACUACCACAGAGCUUCAUGUGAAAUUCAUCUUACAGUUUUUCUACGCAAUGGUAUUUCCUCUAAUCUCAGCUUUGAUCUUCAACUGAUUGAAUUUUGUUUGCAUCUGUCCGAUAUUUUUAUGACUUCUUUAACUGAGCAGACUUAUGAUUAUGCAAAAAUGUGUAAAUGAAAGAGAACAAGGUUUGUGCUGCAUGCCGUUAGUUUUCUUUGUAAGUAAAAUUAAUUGAUCACCAAAAGUUGUGAUCUGAAACCAGUUUCUCCAUUCCUGUUGCGUAUGUUUUAGCCUAGGAAUCAGCUCUGAAGCGUACAUUUUCCCUGACUGGAUAACCAAAGUACCUAAAGCCAUUGGUUCUGAGAGGUCUUUUAAAGCCUAGUUUACCUUCAGAAAUAUUUGGACUCUGAAUCAUCGGUGAUAAGUAUGGCGGUACCAGUAUAAUGAGGCAAACACUUAAGGGCUCUUUCAGAAUUUAUUUAUUUAUUGUCAGCAUUUUCUCCAUUUCACCCUGGUUUAGUAGAAACAGAGACCAUCUGCUGACUUUAUAUAAGCUCUGUACUUAAACACAUAGUAAAAAUCCAGUGGUGUUUGACUGUCACGACUUGGGUCACCCAUUCAUGGCUUUAGACCUUGCUCUCUUUACCCUCAGUGUAGACUGUGCUGUUCCUAACAAAGCACAGCUCUCUCAGGAAAUACCAGAUGCUUCCCAAGCUACAUGUGUGUUCAUGAGCUACUGUCAGGAAUACUGUCAGGUACUGACUCUUCAUGGCAGGAUUCCAACUUAAAAAAUGGAUUAUAUUUGUGAGUUGGAUGAUUCCUUUCUCAGUGAAAAUCCCUAAAAAAAAAAAAAAGCUUUAUUUGGAAAGAUCUUAAUAACUAAACAUUGCUAGAUUCUGAGUUAAGAAACAGUUUGCUGAUACGUAUUUCUCGAUUGCAUAAUGUCAAGCUAAAGUCAGGGUAAUUAGACAUAAUGUGCCCUUUUUGGCUCCUGUUUUAUCAUGGUGAGCAUAAAGACCGACUGCAAAAGGUCCUGUGAGAUUGCUGUGAGUUCUAAUGCUGUUCUGUCAGCAUUUCAAAAUUUGUUACAGAGCGACGUAUAGAUAAGUCUAAUGCUGAAGUCAAAGCAAUUUCACAAUAAACUUUUACAAAAUGAAGACAACAGUCCCUUUGUUGGCCUGUUUCUCAAGAUGAGAAUGCUUUAGUCUCCAUGCUGUUUCCUGCUGCCAAUAUUUGUUGGAAUAUCAAUUAUGCCUUUGUGAAUUUUUUAGGAGUAGUGUAAGACUGGAAGAAGGAAACCUCAUGAAUGGAUCUGAUGUAGUUUGGACAAAAGAUGCUGGGGGAGGACUACAGAGGAAGAAGUGGUAUUUAGCACAGCGUGAAGGCAGAAGACGGCUCACAAAUGCUGGCUCAUUUCAACAGUGUCACACAAUGGAACUGUUCGGAAGGUUCUGGCUACUAGAAAUUCCCAGUAAACACCAAGCACAGUGGUAGAAGGUGACUUUCAGUAGUAAGUUUGAAUUAUUUAUCUCUGUUCCCUAAGGGCAGGUGCUUUCAGAACAGUAAUCCUGCUACAUGAGUACUAGGAGAAGCUGGGUUUCUAAUCAAGCUAAAAAGCACAAGCAUGAACACAGCAUGAAGCAGGAGAUGUGCAACCAUUUAAUGUAUCACUUCCGGGGAAUUAAGAAAUGAUAACUUGUUCUGCUUUACAGAGCACUAGCUUGGGUUCUUUGCUACCCUGCUUCAUAGGGUCAUAGAAUCAUAGAAUCCUUUGGACUGGAAGGGACAUUUAAAGGUCAUCUUGUCCAACUUCCCUGCAAUGAGCAGAGACAUCCACAGCUUUAUCAGGUGCUCAGAGCCUGGUCUAGCCUGGCCUUGAGUGUCUCCCAGGGACAGGGCUUCUACCACAUCUCUGGGCAACCUGUUCCAGUGCCUCACUACCUUUGUUGUUAAAGUCAGCUUGGUCUGGAAGUUUCCUUAUGUAAGGAAAACUUCCCUGAUUCCAAGAUUAUUGGCUCAGAAUGGGUCCCAAACCACAAGCACUUCAGUCAUCAAAUGAGUCAGUAUCCUCUGAGGAUGUUAUUAAUAGCAGGAAAGACAAAACACACAGCUUUAAUUUAGCACACAUUUCAGGACACAGCAACACCCAGCUUAGUCUUUUGAAGUUGUUUUUCUUUUUAUGUUUACUUUUUCCUGAGAAGGGGUUCACCUACUUUUCUGAAAACAAGAGGAAACCUUCUCCCAUCACAUGAAGCAAACAUCUAGACAAAAGCAGAUUCAUUAAGUUAACCUUCAAAGCGGAACCGCUUAUCUGUUUUCAACUCAUAAAGUUUAGUUAUCAUAGCACUCGGCAAAGGCUGCUCUGAAUUCAGCCAUGCAUUUUUAUUUUUAGUCCAGACAAAAAAAAUCCUUCAGGUUUGCUAUCAUUCAGAAAGGAAACCGAAGUUUGCCGUUGUGUUACCAACUUCAACUUCAUAACUUAGCCUAGAUCGGAGCUCAGAAACUGCCUCACUUUGCCAACGCAGAGCCAUUCUGCCAAGUUAUUGUUCACAAGCUGGAUGGCUGCAGUACUCUACCUAUACCCUGAGCAAGGACUUGACUGACUUCCUGAAGGUUUUGCUCUGUUAACUGGAAGAAGCAACACUGUUAUCCUGCUCACCCUCAAGAUGUCAGUAGGUUAUUCUGCCAGGUCUUGCUUUAGAUGAUUUCCCUCCAUCUCCCUUGAUUCAGCUAGGAUUGUUAUGUGAGUAUGUUGGCCUUCGCUUCCUCUCUGAAGAGAUUUCCAUCUGGUUUUGAAGUCUUUAAACUUGAAAUUUUCACACAGAGGGUGGUGACACGCUGGAACAGGUUGCCAAAGGAGGCUGUGGAUGCCCCAUCCCUGGAGGCAUUCAAGGCCAGGCUGGAUGUGGCUCUGGGCAGCCUGGUCUGGUGGUUGGCGACCCUGCACAUAGCAGGGGGGUUGAAACUCAAUGAUCAUUGUGGUCCUUUUCAACCCAGACCGUUUGGUCUGGAAAUUUAUAUGAUUAUAUGUUUCUAUGACACACAGUUUGUGCUGAAUGUAGAAGAAAUCAGCUAUGUUAUAGAGCUUCUGGGAGACUUUGGGAAACUUUUGAGUAAAAGUCUCUUCUAAAGACUUAGGAAUUUUCUAGCAGAAAAAUUUACUGUUAUAAUAACUGAAGCACAAAACUGACAAACACCAAGGUGCUGUGUUCAAACUUCUGCCCACAAACACAGCAAAUUUUUCCAUUCGUGGUUAGAAACAGACAAAACUGGGCCGUUAGUCAGUAUAUUCCACUGUAACUGGAAUUCCACCUAUUUGUAGCAACUGGGCAGAAUAACCAUGAGAGCCUGGUAGUCCACUUGACUGGAUGUGCCAUCAUAGGUGCCACUGUUUUGAAAAAAAAUUUCCGAAGUUCCAAAUGCAAGUUAUCUCCCAGUUUCCCUUUGAAAGCCCAUUGGAAUUAAGAGGCUCAAUACCACCAUAUCUUUAAAAAAUGCAGACCUUGCUACCUUGUUUGUUACUCUGAUGUUAACAAUUGUAUUUGUAGAACUGCUCUCUGCUCUGUUUUUUUCUAUUUGCAGUUUGCUGCUGCACCCCAUGCAAAUCCUGUAAUUUAUAGAGUAAGAAAAGAAUGAGCCUCGCUACAGUUUUAUGGGUGUUAGGGGAAUGGUUCACAGUAGAGCAAUCCAGAUAAGGUUCAAGGGAAAUAGAAGAUAUGCUGUCGUAUGUGCUUUUAACGAGCCUGAAACUAAACAUCACUACAAUGUCUUUUCAGUCUAUUAAUUGUCAUAUGUUGCAAGUAAACACAAACAUCAAAUACUGUUUCAGAGAGACUGCAUGCCAAGAAGGUAGGUAGCGCUGUGCUUGCUUCCCAGCUUCCUCUAAUGUCUCAAGCUCAAGUGUGUAGUAUCUCUGUACAAAAAACAAAGGUUUUCCUAUUUCUAAGCAGGGACAUAAACUACCUCAACAGCCUUUGAUUCUAUUCUGGGGCAGCAAGCUGAUGUAAGCCAGGAAUUUUGCUUUUGUUUGUACUAAAGGAAUUGCAGGUUUAUUUGAUUGAAUGCAUCCAGUAAAUAAACAAACCUAUAAAGUUACAAUUCCACAGAAACAUUACACUUCCUAAAAUUAUCCAUGGAUAAUAUGCUAGAGCAAAACAAAGUAUUUGGGCAAAGAAAAUAAGCUACCAAAAAUGAAUGUAUUGCAUUAAUGUAAUGGCAGAGGUUUUGAGAGGAUUUCAAGCAAAAUUUAAGUUAUAAAUGUGGCUAGAAAAGGAUACAAUGACAUUUUAUUUUAUGAUUAAAUUCAGUUCUUAACAUACUUUUUAAGAACAUGCUCUUCUAAAACGUGUAGAUCUGCAGCAUUUUUAUCAUACUGGUAAGUCUGAAUUGCUGUGAUUUUAGCUUUGUCAAGGUUUGUGAGAAAUCAUGUCUGCUUUAAAAUGAACAUUGUUUUCUCUUGUGCUAUGAUAAGACUUCUUGAUUUCAAAUGCAGGAAGGAAUCUGAGGUCAAGGGAGAAUAUUCUACUUAACAUGGUAGAUGCACGGAAAGAAACUUUUAACAGAAGAAUGUUGAUGGACAGUAUUAAUUAUCCUGCAGGCUGUUCGUGUCUAAAUAUUUGAAAGGCAUAAACGUUCCCUAAAGCACAAGGGAAACUGAAGGCUGCUCCUUGGGGCUCUCUGAAGCUGUGAUCAGGUAUGGAACAUAAAUGUGAAGAGCAAUGCAGAGCACCCUUGUCUUUAUAUCUCUUUCAGUUGCAUGAUUUGUUUGCAAGGUAUAUUUCUGAACCUGCUCAGGGAGCAGUUCAUAAUUAAAACUUUUUUUCUGUCAAGGCUCUUCCAAGAAAUCAGAACUAGAACUCAAGCCAAAAUAAAACGCUUGAAUCAGUUUCCCUGUCCCACUUGCUGCACUGACCCACGGUGGCACAAUGGCCAAGCUGUACAAGCAAAUAGUGCAGAGGAAUAGGAGCGUAUCCGCAGGGUGAAAUAUCAUGCUGAGGAUCCAUUGUCUACACUAAGUGCAUUCCAGGAGGCUGCAUUUCAGACUGACUCUAAUCUGGCCCUGUGUUCUGAAUACCUUUUUGUUGCUAGAAGAGUGUUUCUGGAGCAUAUCUUUUAGCUUAAUUUCAGAGGGAAGCUGGCAUGCAUGUUUUGGGACUGCUCCCCACCGUGAACCAAAGCAGGAAAAGCGGGAGGGUCCUGGUGCCAACCUACAGGGCUAAGGUAGGCUUACUCUUUGCAGUUACUAUGGCAGAGGGAGAAUAGGAAGUGGAGGUAAAGCAUGGACAUUGUUUAAACCAACCCAACACCAUGAGGGCAAAGGAAACCUCAGAUUUAUAUUUGCUGAUUGAACAACUGCAGUAGUGUACAUUACGAUUGGCAUUUGCUGCAGUUUGCUGCCUUUGUACCAAAUAUUUUUCCUUCCACUGCACUGCCAGUAACAAGAAAAGUGUGGGUGUUCCUUGUUUGUCUCAGGAGAAAUGUGGAUGACCUACAUUAAAUUGCUAGAGGAAGUGUUUUGAAGCAACCUAGCUUGCUCAGCCCUGAAACAGCAAAAGGUGCCCUUAUAUUUCCCAUCUCUGAGCUCUGCUCCGAUGGAGGUAACCUUCAGAGAGGGGCAGCAAUAUUUCAUGCAGGUCUAACUACUUGGUAAAUGAACAGCUGUAUAAGCCAUGACUGAGGCUUUUGAAUCACAAGUUGCCUUAUACACAUGGUUUUAAACAGGUUUCUUGGGAGAAGGCAAGGGAGAUAUACUUGUAAGCUGAUUCAUAAGGAGAUAAGAAAAACUUGGAUUUUUACUUUUUUUUUACCAUUUUCCUUAUGUUUUCUCUGCGUCUUUAUCUCCUACCUGAAAUUAACCUUUCCAACAGCUUUUGUCUUUUACUCCUCUCUUUUUCUUUCAGUAGAUGCCUUUAUGGGAUAAACCAAUGCAAACAUAGAAUACACAUGUAUUAUCUUGUGUAAAAACUGUAUACCAGGCUGAUAGGCAGAACCAAAAGGAAUGGGUUGCAAGAAAGCCUGUAAAGAGAAGAAGAGCUGAACUGAGAGAUGUUAGUGAGGAAGAAAUACAGCAGUGACCUUAAAUGCGAUGAGUGGUCUAUGAGGCUAGAACAGCAAAGAGGGACAGAAGCUGAAUUCAGGGAAUAGCCAACCUCCACGAAUAGUAAUGCUGCCAGAAGUGCCCCGAGGGAAGCAGUGUCUAGGAGAAUUGUAGAAUUCAGGAAUACAGGGAACUAGAAAACUGUCCACCUUGUUAUGUCUGUUACCAACUGUUAAAUCAAGAAGUGGCUCUGUCAUUGGAGAAAAAAAAAAAAAGCUUAGAUUCUGUGAAAUUGUAUUUUAAAACCUUACAACAUAAACCACUUCACUAUGUAAAAAAGAAAACUCGGGAUCUCUCAAAUAGAGAUGGUCAAAAACUGUGUAAAACAACCCAAGCAUCACAGUUGUGGAGUGACAACACUAAAGAAACAAGCCAACAGAAGAGAGAUAACAUUACUGGCAGGACAAGAUGCACUUAAUGCCUUUUGCCAGGCUCUAAACUGACAGGGUUAAAUGCAUUCUUACAUGGAAAUCCAGCUCCAGGAAAACAAGGAAUGAGCUUGUGAUUUUGGCUAUGUGUUCAGCUCAGAAGCACAGAAGGUAUUGCAUCCAUGGUGUCCGUGAUUGCUGCGGGACAUUUCUAGAGUUAUUUUUUCUGAUGGAGGACUUCCCCCAAAUACUUGUGCUGAAACUACAGCCAGGGGAAUUAGGGUGUAGAAAGGUCAAAGUGAUGGAAGAAGCUGAUGGAAGAUCCUGAAAAAGGAGGGAGGCUGAAGCCAGGAAAAUUUCUUCCAGUUUUUUUAGCUCAUUCCUGUUGGAAGCUUGUUUACAUAAAAAGGAAAUGUUUAAAUGACUCACUGUCACAGUAGCUAUAAACGAAGCUCUUACAAAAAUCUGCCAGCUUUUCACUUCUUAUUUAUUUAUUACUCCUAGAGAUUAAUAACUGAAGUUCUCAUACAGGCAUGAAUAAUUAAUUUGAUCCAUUGCUUGUCACACUUAAGGGCUAGGUUUGUCCUGGCAAGUUACAGCUCUGCAUAACAGGACCUAACACUUAAGUUUUGUACAAGCAUAGAAUCAUAGAAUUCUUAGAAUUGGAAGGGACCUUUAAAGGUCAUCUAAUCCAACCCCUCUGCAAUGAACAGGGACAUCCACAGAUAGAUCAGGUCACUCAGUGCUUGGUCCAGCCUGGCCUUGAGUGUCUUCAGGGAUGGGGCAUUCACCACAUUUCAGGACAACCUGUUCCAGUGCCUCAUCAUCCUCACUGUAAAAUACGCUCUCCUUAUAUCUAACAUAAAUCUCUACUUUUUAAGUUUGAAAUAAUUUUCCCACUUUCUCUCAGCACAGACUCCGAUAAUGAGUCUGUCCCAUUCUUUCCUGUAGCUCCCCUUUAGAUACUGAAAGGCCACUAUUAGGUCACCUUCUCUUCCCCAGGCUGAACAGCCCAAGCUCUUUCAAUCUGUCCUCAUAGGAGAGGUAUUCCAUCCCUUGA
This is a long non-coding RNA of Gallus gallus (chicken), 23186 nucleotides long. RefSeq lists it as uncharacterized. NCBI's taxonomy places the organism in Eukaryota, Metazoa, Chordata, Aves, Galliformes, Phasianidae. The record is from RefSeq and is a predicted model, not a curated record. The transcript has 5 exons.